Molecule: ribosomal RNA, 446 nt
Filed under: uncultured bacterium
Lineage: Bacteria
Description: bacterial SSU rRNA
Rfam family: Bacterial small subunit ribosomal RNA
Source: RNAcentral
AACGAACGCUGGCGGCAUGCCUAACACAUGCAAGUCGAACGAGACCUUCGGGUCUAGUGGCGCACGGGCGCGUAACGCGUGGGAAUCUGCCCUUAGGUUCGGAAUAACAGUUAGAAAUGACUGCUAAUACCGGAUAAUGACGUAAGUCCAAAGAUUUAUCGCCUAGGGAUGAGCCCGCGUAGGAUUAGCUAGUUGGUGGGGUAAAAGCCUACCAAGGCGACGAUCCUUAGCUGGUCNGAGAGGAUGAUCAGCCACACUGGGACUGAGACACGGCCCAGACUCCUACGGGAGGGCAGCAGUGGGGAAGUAUUGGACAAUGGGCGAAAGCCUGAUCCAGCAAUGCCGCGUGAGUGAUGAAGGCCUUAGGGUUGUAAAGCUCUUUUACCCGGAAGAUAAUGACUGUACCGGGAGAAUAAGCCCCGGCUAACUUCGUGCCAGCAGCCGCU